Molecule: long non-coding RNA, 1405 nt
Organism: Acinonyx jubatus (cheetah)
Lineage: Eukaryota; Metazoa; Chordata; Mammalia; Carnivora; Felidae
Exons: 5
Source: RefSeq, a predicted model, not a curated record
AUGCCUACAUUAGGUCUCAAGAGGAAGGAAGCAGGGUGAGUAAAGGAGCUGGAAGAUGUGGCCAGCGAGAUAGCAGACACUCCAGUUCAGUCUCAUUGUCCAGGGAGGGAAGAGCUUCAAGAAGGAGGGAGUAGGUGGCCGACAGAGCAAAUACUGUUAACUGCAGUUACUGAGAAGGAUAAGAGGUCUGAGGUGCUGCUGGUGGGACAUUGAAGUGGAAGCAUCCCACAGCUGGAAAUUUGGAACUGGAGGUCUGGAAAGAGGACAUUGGUUUGACAGUCACUCAUGGAUGAAAGUACUUUUGUGGGAGUCCAGAAGUCCAGUGAGGAAGUUCCAGCAUUCUUUUGGAUCAAAAAAAAAAAUCAGAGAUUGGGUGCAUUGAAGAGGGAAGCAGCUUCUGACCCUCAGCGGUGCUGACCAGGGAGGCAGUAGUGGCCGGAAAAGCAGGGACAAGACUCCAGGGAGAAUAUAACCCAAGGGAAUAUUCUUGCUUGAAGAACAGGGCUUGAAGAGCAGGGAGUUGAAAAUUUCAUCAUAAAUGCAAGCAAUCUUCCUCAGAUCAAAGGCCCUUGCAUUGGGGUAUGUUUUACCUUGUUGGAACUUCAGGUGGUCAGAGACCAGUGGUUGGAUAAGAUCUACCUUCAAGGAGAUACAUAGACAACAGAAGCCAGACAGUUCCAGUUACUACCUCAGAAAGGGAAUCAAGAACUGGGUUGAAGAUGGGAAAAACCAAGCAUGAUUUUUUAAGCCUGGAAUCUCCACAUCUGUAUUUUUUAUUGUAUCUUGUUUGUUCCUGGUCUUUAUCAGUUGAAAAACCUCACAAACAAAAUAGGCCUAUAUGCCUGUCUUCAGGAUUGUUGGAAAGGAUUUUCAGCCAGGCUUGGGAGCAGAAGAACCAGAGGCAACCAUGAGGUGGGGACAGCCAUUAAAGAAGAGAGGAAAACCAGUUGGUCCUGAGGCCUUUGUCAAUAAAGGAAAAGGAGAACAUAUAAUUAGAGGCUGUAAUGGUAAAUUUGAUAUAUUAACUUGGCUAGGCCAUGGUGCCCAAAUAUGUAGUCAAAGAUUAUUCUGGAUGUGUUUGUGAGGGUAUUUUUGGAUAGGUUUUUGAAUAGGUUUUAGGAUUAUAGGUUAAUCCUAUAAACUGAUGGACUUUGAGUAAAGCAGAUUUCCCUCCAUAAUAUGAGUGGGCAUCAUUCAAUCAGAUGAAGGCCUGCAUAGAACAAAAGACAGAGGGGCACCUGGGUGGUUCAGUGGGUUAAGCAUCUGACUUCAGCUCAGGUCAUGAUCUUACGGUUCAUGACUUUGAGCCAUGCAUCAGGCUCUGUGCUGACAGUUCAGAGCCUGGAGCCUGCUUCAGAUUCUGUGUCUCCCUCUCUCUCUGCCCCUCCCCCAAUCACACUCUGUC